RNAcentral lists this unclassified non-coding RNA (268 nucleotides) under Hevea brasiliensis (rubber tree). Lineage: Eukaryota; Viridiplantae; Streptophyta; Magnoliopsida; Malpighiales; Euphorbiaceae. The record is from RNAcentral.
AAUAGCAUUUGGCUAUCAACUGAAAUGCAGGAAGUUAUCAAUAAAUCAAAACUUUACACCAGUUGGAACUUCUACUACACUAAUGUGACACGCCAAGUAGGAAACAUGACAAUGGCCACAUAUGAGGCGAGUCUGGGUAGGCAAACCAGCACAAACUAUCCACUUGUUAAUUUCUUGAUGGCGACAGAAUCAGACUUUUUCAUAGGAGCAUUGGGUUCUACAUGGUGCUUUCUCAUAGAUGGCAUGAGAAAUACUGGAGGGAAAGUAA